Non-coding RNA from Castor canadensis (American beaver), 1109 nucleotides. The record is from RefSeq and is a predicted model, not a curated record. NCBI's taxonomy places the organism in Eukaryota, Metazoa, Chordata, Mammalia, Rodentia, Castoridae.
AUGUCGAGCCGUGGUGGGAAGAAGAAAUCCACCAAGACCUCCCGGUCAGCUAAGGCAGGAGUCAUCUUUCCUGUGGGACAGAUGCUACGGUACAUCAAGAAAGGCCAUCCCAAGUACAGGAUUGGAGUAGGGGCACCGGUGUACAUGGCUGCUGUCUGGAAUACCUGACAGCGGAGAUACUGGAGCUGGCUGGCAACGCAGCAAGAGACAACAACAAGGGACGGGUCACGCCUGGGCACAUCCUGCUGGCUGUGGCCAAUGAUGAAGAGCUCAAUCAGCUGCUAAAAGGAGUCACCAUAGCCAGUGGGGGUGUGUUACCAAACAUCCACCCUGAGUUGCUAGCAAAGAAGCGAGGGUCCAAAGGAAAGUUGGAAGCCAUCAUCACACCACCCCCAGCCAAAAAGGCCAAGUCUCCAUCUCAGAAGAAGCCUGUGUCUAAGAAAGCAGGAGGAAAGAAAGGGGCCCGGAAAUCCAAGAAACAGGGAGAAGUCAGCAAGGCAGCAAGUGCAGACAGCAUGACCGAAGGCACACCCGCUGAUGGCUUCACAGUCCUCUCCACCAAGAGCCUCUUCCUCGGCCAGAAGCUGAAACUUAUUCACAGUGAAAUCAGUAAUUUAGCCGGCUUUGAGGUGGAGACCAUAAUCAAUCCUACCAAUGCUGACAUUGACCUUAAAGAUGACCUAAGGAACAUGCUGGAAAAGAAGGGUGGCAAGGAUUUUGUGGAAGCUGUUCUGGAACUCCGGAAAAAGAACGGGCCCUUGGAAGUAGCUGGAGCUGCAGUCAGUGCAGGCCAUGGUCUGCCUGCCACGUUUGUGAUCCACUGUAAUAGCCCAGUCUGGGGUGCAGACAAGUGUGAAGAACUUCUGGAAAACACGGUGAAAAACUGCCUGGCUCUGGCCGAUGAUAAGAAGCUGAAAUCCAUUGCGUUUCCAUCCAUUGGCAGUGGCAGGAACGGGUUCCAGAAGCAGACAGCGGCACAGAUGAUUCUGAAGGCCAUCUCCAGUUACUUCGUGUCCACCAUGUCCUCCUCCAUCAAAACCGUGUACUUCGUGCUUUUCAACAGUGAGAGUACAGACAUGUAGGAAAUGGCCUAGCUGGACGCCAACUAG